AAAGAAAUCACAUGCUCCAAGACGUCACACAGCUAUUUCCAUUAAAUCACCAACUCUAACUUAAAUGCAAAUAAAAAUGCUUAAACAUUCAAUCACUGUACUGCAUCGUACACUAUGGAAAGUAAUUUUUCUCUAAAGCAAAUACCGUAACAUGUUUAACCAGUAGCAUCCCUUCAUGAGAAACAAAAGAAAAUGCUUCCAAUUGAA
RNAcentral lists this long non-coding RNA (207 nucleotides) under Vigna radiata. Its description in RNAcentral is "long non-coding RNA (VRAD_LNC002164)". Lineage: Eukaryota; Viridiplantae; Streptophyta; Magnoliopsida; Fabales; Fabaceae. The record is from RNAcentral.